AUCGCUUCUCGGCCUUUUGGCUAAGAUCAAGUGUAGAGAGGUUAGAUAAAAUGUCUGAAUGUUAAUGGUUUAAAUCGUGAUUAUUAAUACGAUUCUAGUGAUUUCAAAUCGGUGAUGCAAAUAUAUCGUUAACUUCACAACUUAA
Molecule: small nuclear RNA, 145 nt
Filed under: Zalophus californianus (California sea lion)
Lineage: Eukaryota; Metazoa; Chordata; Mammalia; Carnivora; Otariidae
Also listed under: 1 other name
Description: U2 spliceosomal RNA (ENSZCAG00015005615.1)
Rfam family: U2 spliceosomal RNA
About the family: U2 is a small nuclear RNA (snRNA) component of the spliceosome (involved in pre-mRNA splicing).
Source: RNAcentral